RNAcentral lists this ribosomal RNA (521 nucleotides) under uncultured bacterium. RNAcentral's name for it is "bacterial SSU rRNA". It matches the Rfam family "Bacterial small subunit ribosomal RNA", at positions 24 to 518 of the family's 1533-position model. The record is from RNAcentral.
UCAGGACGAACGCUGGCGGCGUGCCUAAUACAUGCAAGUCGAACGGUCUUUCUAUGGAAGCUUGCUUCCAUAGAAAAGAUAGUGGCGAACGGGUGAGUAACACGUGGGUAACCUGCCCAUAAGAGGGGGAUAACAUCCGGAAACGGGUGCUAAUACCGCAUAGUUUUCUUGAUCGCAUGAUUGAGAAAGGAAAGACGGCCUUUGUGCUGUCGCUUAUGGAUGGACCCGCGGCGUAUUAGUUAGUUGGUGAGGUAACGGCUCACCAAGACGAUGAUACGUAGCCGACCUGAGAGGGUGAUCGGCCACAUUGGGACUGAGACACGGCCCAAACUCCUACGGGAGGCAGCAGUAGGGAAUCUUCCGCAAUGGACGAAAGUCCGACGGAGCAACGCCGCGUGAGUGAAGAAAGGUUUUCGGAUCGUAAAACUCUGUUGUCAGAGAAGAACAAGUUGGAGAGUAACUGCUCCAGCCUUGACGGUAUCUGACCAGAAAGCCACGGCUAACUACGUGCCAGCCGCCGC